Molecule: transfer-messenger RNA, 389 nt
Filed under: Candidatus Omnitrophota bacterium
Lineage: Bacteria; Pseudomonadati; Candidatus Omnitrophota
Description: Candidatus Omnitrophica bacterium transfer-messenger RNA
Rfam family: transfer-messenger RNA
About the family: Bacterial tmRNA, also known as 10Sa RNA or SsrA, is named for its dual tRNA and mRNA-like properties. Its role is to liberate the mRNA from a stalled ribosome.
Source: RNAcentral
GGGGGUGAAAGGUUUCGAUCUGGACAGGUCGAGGCGAAAGUGGCAUGUGGAGGGUUCAGGUGGCCUCCUUAAAAACCUGAACAUACACAAACGCAAACUCAAACAGAGUAGCAGAAUUCCAGCUUGCUGGAGUUCCUGCUGAUGCGUUCAGCGUCAACUAAUAAAGUUGACCCUCCUUUAGCCUUGCCUACGGGGCUAAGUUCGGAGUCGUAAGUAGGAUAGUCCGGUGUUGUUAGCUUUUGCGGCGCCGGAUGAAACUUAAAAAAGCUUUUCUUUCCCGCAUCCCGUUUAUUGGAGUCGGGAAAGAGAACUUAAAAGGUAAACUAAACAUGUAGAGGCUUUUGCUGCGAUGUCCAGAGACGCGAGUUCGAAUCUCGCCACCUCCAUUG